GACGAACGCUGGCGGCGUGCCUAAUACAUGCAAGUUGAGCGCUGAAGGUUGGUACUUGUACCAACUGGAUGAGCAGCGAACGGGUGAGUAACGCGUGGGGAAUCUGCCUUUGAGCGGGGGACAACAUUUGGAAACGAAUGCUAAUACCGCAUAAAAACUUUAAACACAAGUUUUAAGUUUGAAAGAUGCAAUUGCAUCACUCAAAGAUGAUCCCGCGUUGUAUUAGCUAGUUGGUGAGGUAAAGGCUCGCCAAGGCGAUGAUACAUAGCCGACCUGAGAGGGUGAUCGGCCACAUUGGGACUGAGACACGGCCCAAACUCCUACGGGAGGCAGCAGUAGGGAAUCUUCGGCAAUGGACGAAAGUCUGACCGAGCAACGCCGCGUGAGUGAAGAAGGGUUUCGGAUCGUAAAACUCUGUUGGUAGAGAAGAACGUUGGUGAGAGCGGAAAGCUCAUCAAGUGACGGUAACUACCCAGAAAGGGACGGCUAACUACGUG
RNAcentral lists this ribosomal RNA (497 nucleotides) under uncultured bacterium. Its description in RNAcentral is "partial 16S ribosomal RNA". It matches the Rfam family "Bacterial small subunit ribosomal RNA", at positions 28 to 507 of the family's 1533-position model. The record is from RNAcentral.